Molecule: ribosomal RNA, 99 nt
Filed under: Microcebus murinus (gray mouse lemur)
Lineage: Eukaryota; Metazoa; Chordata; Mammalia; Primates; Cheirogaleidae
Source: RNAcentral
GUCUACAGCCAUACCACCAUGAACGCGCCUGAUCUCAGAAGCUAAGCAGGGUCGCGUUAGUACUUGGAUGGGAGUUUCAAAAAUACGAUUGAGUUGACC